Molecule: ribosomal RNA, 369 nt
Filed under: uncultured bacterium
Lineage: Bacteria
Description: bacterial SSU rRNA
Rfam family: Bacterial small subunit ribosomal RNA
Source: RNAcentral
GAAGGGGGCUAGCGUUGCUCGGAAUUACUGGGCGUAAAGGGUGUGUAGGCGGAUAGUUUAGUCAGAGGUGAAAGCCCAGGGCUCAACCCUGGAAUUGCCUUUGAUACUGGCUAUCUUGAGUUCGGGAGAGGUAAGUGGAACUCCGAGUGUAGAGGUGAAAUUCGUAGAUAUUCGGAAGAACACCAGUGGCGAAGGCGACUUACUGGCCCGAUACUGACGCUGAAACACGAAAGCGUGGGGAGCAAACAGGAUUAGAUACCCUGGUAGUCCACGCUGUAAACGAUGAGUGCUAGUUGUCGGCAUGCAUGCAUGUCGGUGACGCAGCUAACGCAUUAAGCACUCCGCCUGGGGAGUACGGUCGCAAGRUUA